Molecule: ribosomal RNA, 599 nt
Filed under: Hapalocarcinus marsupialis
Lineage: Eukaryota; Metazoa; Arthropoda; Malacostraca; Decapoda; Cryptochiridae
Description: partial 16S ribosomal RNA
Rfam family: Bacterial large subunit ribosomal RNA
Source: RNAcentral
CAUGUCUGUUUGUAGGUAUAAAAAGUCCAAUCUGCCCACUGAUAUCAUUUUUUUAAAGGGCCGCAGUAUUCUAACUGUGCAAAGGUAGCAUAAUCGUUAGUUCCUUAAUUGGGAUCUUGUAUGAAUGAUUAGACAAAAAAUUAGCUGUCUUUAUAAUUAAGAUUGAAAUUAACUUUUAAGUGAAAAGGCUUAAAUUGUUUGAAGUGACGAUAAGACCCUAUAAAGCUUAAUAUUUAUAUAAGAGUUUGAGUAAAAUAGAUUUUUAAAGUUUUAAAGAUUAUAUGUAUUUUAUUGGGGUGAUAAAAGUAAAAUUAAAAUAACUGCUUUAUUGUUUAAACAAUGAUAUAUGAUUAAUGGGUUGGUAAAUGAUCCUAUUAUGUGGAAUAAAGAUUAAGUUACUUUAGGGAUAACAGCGUUAUUUUUUUUAAGAGUUCUUAUCGAAAAAAAAGAUUGCGACCUCGAUGUUGAAUUAAAAUAUCUUUAUAAUUGUAGAGGUUAUAUAAGAAGGUCUGUUCGACCUUUAAAUUUUUACAUGAUUUGAGUUCAGACCGGUUUGAACCAGGUCGGUUUCUAUCUUUCAAUAAAAUGUAAUUACUUUA